UGACCAGGGAUUUUCUUCUGGAGCUUAGGCAGAAAAAGAAAGCGUAUGGCUGCUCUAAGCAGUGUCAGACAACGUGGAAGGAAUACAGGGACUCUGUUUGCGUUUGUAGGGAGAAAAUUCAUGCAGCCAAAGCCCAAUUAGAGUUGAAGUUGGCCAGGUCUGUGGGAGACAAUAAAAGGGGUUUUAUAUAUAU
Molecule: long non-coding RNA, 193 nt
Organism: Oxyura jamaicensis (ruddy duck)
Lineage: Eukaryota; Metazoa; Chordata; Aves; Anseriformes; Anatidae
Exons: 3
Source: RefSeq, a predicted model, not a curated record